AGGCCAGUAGCUCCAAUUGGUAGAGCGUCGGUCUCCAAAACCGAAUGUUCCAGGUUCGAAUCCUGGCUGGCCUG
Molecule: transfer RNA, 74 nt
Filed under: Spirochaetaceae bacterium
Lineage: Bacteria; Pseudomonadati; Spirochaetota; Spirochaetia; Spirochaetales; Spirochaetaceae
Also listed under: 1 other name
Description: tRNA-Trp
Rfam family: tRNA
About the family: Transfer RNA (tRNA) molecules are approximately 80 nucleotides in length. Their secondary structure includes four short double-helical elements and three loops (D, anti-codon, and T loops).
Source: RNAcentral